GAUGAACGCUGGCGGCGUGCCUAAUACAUGCAAGUCGAGCGAACAGACGAGGAGCUUGCUCCUCUGACGUUAGCGGCGGACGGGUGAGUAACACGUGUAUAACCUACCUAUAAGACUGGGAUAACUUCGGGAAACCGGCGCUAAUACCGGAUAAUAUAUUGAUCCGCAUGGUUCAAUAGUGAAAGACGGCUUUGCUGUCACUUAUAGCUGGAUCCGCGCCGGAUGAGCUAGUUGGUACGGUAACAGCUUACCAAGGCAACGAUGCGUAGCCGACCUGAGAGGGUGAUCGGCCACACUAGAACGGAGACACGGUCCAGACUCCUACGGGAGGCAGCAGUAGGGAAUCUGCCGCAAUGGGCGAAAGCCUGACGGAGCAACGCCGCGUGAGUUAUGAAGGUCUUCGGAUCGUAAAACUCUGUUAUUAGGGAAGAACAAAUGUGUAAGUAACUAUGCACGUCUUGACGGUACCUAAUCAGAAAGCCACGGCUAACUACGUG
RNAcentral lists this ribosomal RNA (497 nucleotides) under uncultured bacterium. RNAcentral describes it as "partial 16S ribosomal RNA". It matches the Rfam family "Bacterial small subunit ribosomal RNA", at positions 28 to 507 of the family's 1533-position model. The record is from RNAcentral.